UUUUAAUUUUUAACUUUAAUUGUUGUGAAACUUUUUUUUUUUUUUUUUUUUUAUUUAAUGUUUUGUAAAAUAUUUAUUAUUUUUUUAUUUUUGUGAGAAGUUUUUUAAAUUUGUUUUAUUGAACUGGAUUAGUACCCAGGUAAUCAAAAUUUAUUAGUUCGGGAGUAAAGUUGUAUUUAAACCGAAAAAAUAUUGACUGACCUUAGAUUUUUUUUUGGAACAUGUUUUGGAGAGCCCUCCUUGGUAGUUUUUUUUUAGGUGCAUGUAUGAUUGUUUAGUUUUUAUAUUAAUUUUGAGGCUUGUUUUUGUUUUAAAACAGAUAUAUACUUGGCUAAUAAAAGAUUUUUUAUGUGUUACUAUUUUUUAUUUAUCCGGAUGUAAUUUUUAUUAAUUAUUGAAGUUGGAAAAAAAAGUAAUUUUAUUUUAAGGUUAAAGUGAAUUAAAUAAAUGAGG
RNAcentral lists this ribosomal RNA (453 nucleotides) under Thelazia callipaeda (thelaziosis nematode). RNAcentral describes it as "partial 12S ribosomal RNA". The record is from RNAcentral. Lineage: Eukaryota; Metazoa; Nematoda; Chromadorea; Rhabditida; Thelaziidae.